Molecule: ribosomal RNA, 1090 nt
Filed under: uncultured bacterium
Lineage: Bacteria
Description: bacterial SSU rRNA
Rfam family: Bacterial small subunit ribosomal RNA
Source: RNAcentral
GAGUUUGAUCCUGGCUCAGGACGAACGCUGGCGGCGUGCCUAACACAUGCAAGUCGAACGAGAUCCAUGAUGUAGCAAUACAUCGGAAGAUCUAGUGGCGAACGGGUGAGGAUCACGUGAGAAACCUGCCCCAGACUCUGGGAUAACAAUUGGAAACGAUUGCUAAUACCGGAUGACGUCGGAGAACCGCAUGGUUCACUGACGAAAGAUACUUCGGUUUGGGAGGGUCUCGCGGCCUAUCAGCUUGUUGGUGGGGUAAUGGCCUACCAAGGCAACGACGGGUAGCUGGUCUGAGAGGAUGAUCAGCCACACUGGGACUGAGACACGGCCCAGACUCCUACGGGAGGCAGCAGUGGGGAAUUUUCCGCAAUGGGCGCAAGCCUGACGGAGCAACGCCGCGUGAGGGAUGAAGGCCUCUGGGCUGUAAACCUCUUUUCUCAAGGAAGAAGAACUGACGGUACUUGAGGAAUAAGCCACGGCUAAUUCCGUGCCAGCAGCCGCGGUAAUACGGGAGUGGCAAGCGUUAUCCGGAAUUAUUGGGCGUAAAGCGUCCGCAGGCGGCCUUGAAAGUCUGUCGUUAAAGCGUGGAGCUUAACUCCAUUUCGGCGGUGGAAACUACAAGGCUUGAGUGUGGUAGGGGCAGAGGGAAUUCCCGGUGUAGCGGUGAAAUGCGUAGAUAUCGGGAAGAACACCAGUGGCGAAGGCGCUCUGCUGGGCCAUAACUGACGCUCAUGGACGAAAGCUAGAGGAGCGAAAGGGAUUAGAUACCCCUGUAGUCCUAGCCGUAAACGAUGAACACUAGGUGUCGGGGGAAUCGACCCCCUCGGUGUCGUAGCCAACGCGUUAAGUGUUCCGCCUGGGGAGUACGCACGCAAGUGUGAAACUCAAAGGAAUUGACGGGGGCCCGCACAAGCGGUGGAGUAUGUGGUUUAAUUCGAUGCAACGCGAAGAACCUUACCAGGGUUUGACAUCCUGCGAAUCCCUUGGAAACUUGGGAGUGCCUUCGGGAGCGCAGUGACAGGUGGUGCAUGGCUGUCGUCAGCUCGUGUCGUGAGAUGUUGGGUUAAGUCCCGCAACGAGCGCAACCCAA